UACGGGAGGCAGCAGUGGGGAAUAUUGCACAAUGGGCGCAAGCCUGAUGCAGCCAUGCCGCGUGUAUGAAGAAGGCCUUCGGGUUGUAAAGUACUUUCAGCAGUGAGGAAGGUGGUAGUGUUAAUAGCACUAUCAUUUGACGUUAGCUGCAGAAGAAGCACCGGCUAACUCCGUGCCAGCAGCCGCGGUAAUACGGAGGGUGCGAGCGUUAAUCGGAAUUACUGGGCGUAAAGCGCAUGCAGGUGGUUUGUUAAGUCAGAUGUGAAAGCCCGGGGCUCAACCUCGGAAUUGCAUUUGAAACUGGCAGACUAGAGUACUGUAGAGGGGGUAGAAUUUCAGGUGUAGCGGUGAAAAUGCGUAGAGAUCUGAAGGAAUACCGGUGGCGAAGGCGGCCCCCUGGACAGAUACUGACACUCAGAUGCGAAAGCGUGGGGAGCAAACAGGAUUAGAUACCCUGGUAG
RNAcentral lists this ribosomal RNA (461 nucleotides) under uncultured bacterium. RNAcentral describes it as "bacterial SSU rRNA". It matches the Rfam family "Bacterial small subunit ribosomal RNA", at positions 340 to 793 of the family's 1533-position model. The record is from RNAcentral.